CGUCCUGUGAAAGCCCCCGGCUUAACCGGGGAAUUGCGCGACGAACUGUCUUUCUUGAGCCAAGUAGGGGUGCACGGAACUGUUGGUGGAGCGGUGGAAUGCGUAGAUAUCAACAGGAACGCCGGUGGAGAAAUCGGUGCACUGGGCUUGUGCUGACGCUGAGACACGAAAGCGUGGGGAGCGAACGGGAUUAGAUACCCCGGUAGUCCACGCCGUAAACGAUGUCUACUAGGUUGUGGAAGUUCUGACGCUGCCACGGCCGAAGCAAAAGUGCUAAGUAGACCGCCUGGGGAGUACGGCCGCAAGGCUAAAACUCAAAGGAAUUGACGGGGGCUCACACAAGCGGUGGAGCAUGUGGAUCAAUUCGAAGCAACGCGUAGAACCUUACCUGGGUUUGACAUGCUUGGAUGCCGUCCUGGAAACAGGGGAAGCUGCCCUUCGGGGUGAAACUUGCACAGGUGCUGCAUGGCUGUCGUCAGCUCGUGUCGUGAGAUGUCGGGUUAAGUCCUUUAACGAGCGAAACCCUUGCCGUUAGUUGCCAGCGGAUAAUGCCGGGGACUCUAACGGGACUGCCGGGUAAAACCGGAGGAAGGUGGGGACGACGUCAAGUAAUCAUGGCCUUUAUGCCCAGGGCUUCACACGUGCUACAAUGGCGGCAACAAAGCGUCGCAAAACCGUGAGGUCGAGCUAAUCGCAAAAAUGUCGCCCCAGUUCGGAUUGUAGGCUGACAACUCGCCUGCAUGAAGUCGGAAUCGCUAGUAAUCGCGUAUCAGC
Molecule: ribosomal RNA, 774 nt
Filed under: uncultured bacterium
Lineage: Bacteria
Description: bacterial SSU rRNA
Rfam family: Bacterial small subunit ribosomal RNA
Source: RNAcentral